RNAcentral lists this ribosomal RNA (406 nucleotides) under uncultured bacterium. RNAcentral describes it as "partial 16S ribosomal RNA". It matches the Rfam family "Bacterial small subunit ribosomal RNA", at positions 29 to 526 of the family's 1533-position model. The record is from RNAcentral.
AUUGAACGCUGGCGGCAUGCCUAACACAUGCAAGUCGAGCGAGCGGCGGACGGGUGAGUAAUGUAUGGGAAACUGCCUGAUGGAGGGGGAUAACUACUGGAAACGGUGGCUAAUACCGCAUACGAUCCGAUGGGCCCAGAUGGGAUUAGCUAGUAGGGGGGGUAAUGGCUCACAAAGGCGACGCUCCCUAGCUGGGCUGAGAGGAUGAUCAGCCACACUGGAACUGAGACACGGCCCAGACUCCUACGGGAGGCAGCAGUGGGGAAUAUUGGACAAUGGGCGAAAGCCUGAUGCAGCCAUGCCGCGUGUGUGAAGAAGGCCUUCGGGUUGUAAAGCACGUUCAGCGGGGAGGCGUUACCUGAAGAAGAAGCACCGGCUAACUCCGUGCCAGCAGCCGCGGUAAUAC